This 450-nucleotide ribosomal RNA is filed under the name uncultured Glomeromycotina. RNAcentral's name for it is "SSU rRNA". It matches the Rfam family "Eukaryotic small subunit ribosomal RNA", at positions 569 to 1025 of the family's 1831-position model. Lineage: Eukaryota; Fungi; Glomeromycota. The record is from RNAcentral.
AGCAGCCGCGGUAAUUCCAGCUCCAAUAGCGUAUAUUAAAGUUGUUGCAGUUAAAAAGCUCGUAGUUGAAUUUCGGGAUCAAUAUGUUGGUCGUGCCUUGGUACGUACUGGCAUUAUCGAUUCCUACCUUCUGAAGAAUCUCGAUGUCAUUAAUUUGGUGUCUUGGGGAAUCAGGACUGUUACUUUGAAAAAUUAGAGUGUUUAAAGCAGGCUCGCGCUUGAAUACAUUAGCAUGGAAUAAUGAAAUAGGACGUUUGAUUCUAUUUUGUUGGUUUCUAGGAUUGACGUAAUGAUUAAUAGGGAUAGUUGGGGGCAUUAGUAUUCAAUUGUCAGAGGUGAAAUUCUUGGAUUUAUUGAAGACUAACUACUGCGAAAGCAUUUGCCAAGGAUGUUUUCAUUAAUCAAGAACGAAAGUUAGGGGAUCGAAGACGAUCAGAUACCGUCGUAGUC